This 238-nucleotide long non-coding RNA is filed under the name Linum usitatissimum (flax). RNAcentral describes it as "long non-coding RNA (LUSI_LNC002207)". The record is from RNAcentral. Lineage: Eukaryota; Viridiplantae; Streptophyta; Magnoliopsida; Malpighiales; Linaceae.
UUCGGUGAGAUGGAGACUUCGUUGCGGAACGAUGUUGUUGAGCAAAGCUCACGGUAAGAACUUCAGAGAGAUUUAGUAAAUUAAUGUAUGCUUAUUAAUUUAGGAAAGUUACAAAAAACAAUUUUAUAGUUACAGGGAAGAAGGGAAAGUUUCCUAACAAAACAGUCAAAACCUAUCUAACAGAAUGGUCAAUGUCAUAACAACCGUUGACCGCAUGGAACCGAUUCUAACAGCCCCG